AUAUUUAAAAGAAUAAUUCAGAAAAAAUUAUCUAAUCUUACUAGAGAAGUAGACUUCCAGGUACAAGAAAGUCAGAAAAUACCUUUAAGAUACAAAAUGCCACUGCACUCCAGCCUGGGCGACAGAGCAAGACUCUGUAUCAAACAGAAACAAAAACAAAACAAAGAUAUGCUUGCAAAAAUAUGAAAUGGCAGAUGCACAUGGUUAUUUGCACCAUUAUUUUCAAAAGUCAAACUGGAGCACCAUCUGAAUAUUCAUCAAAUUCAGGACUGAUGAGGCAGAGCAACACAAUGGAUUAUUAUGCAGAUAUACAAGAGAAUGCGGAAGCUCUGUAAAGUAGGGUGUGAACUCCAGGACACAGGGUGAAGUGAAGAAAGCAAGGUGCAGAAAUUGCACACAGUAUGCCAUCUUUUGUACUGGGGAAAGGAAUACAAAGCAGCGGGGAAAGGAAUGUGUAUGCAUGUAUAUGUAAAUACAGUCAUUAAAACUGAAAACAAAGUGGCACAAAUAAACCUAAUUCCCUAUCGAGUUGGCAUUGCUGCCUUAACCACACAGAGGAAAGUAACUGACUUCAGAGCACAGUAUCUUCACUGUAUUUCUUCAGUAUGAUAUAAUCCAAAGACACAAAUACUGCAUAGACAUCUCAAUGUCACUUGAAGUGAAAUAACAUAAAAAUGGGAACAGACUCCUGCUGCUGCUCCAGAAAGAUGAACAUGAGAAAGGGACCAUUAUCUCUAAUGUUUUCUCAUGUAGAAAAUGCAGGGAAUAGCUUAAAUCGAAGUUCAACUUUGGGAGCUGAUAAUUGAGUGAAAGUCUUCUUCCUUGAUUGCCCUGGGAAGAAAUCUUCAUUUUUGGUUUGCAAGACCAUGAAAAUGAGACAAUAAAUACAACAAAUGAAAUACUUUACACUCAAAAACUAUUUUUAAAAAAACAGACAAAAUAUAGAAAAUAAGUAUAAGUAACAUAUUCAAAGAGACAUUAAACGACAUUUUAUUAAUUUUAAAAGCUAUAGAUUAUAGAAAUAAAAAUUUUCCGUAUGAAAUUUCCCUCCUAAGGGUCGGCCCAAGUCCAGGACCUGUCUGGGAAUUGUGGACAUAUCGGUAGGACACGGGCAAGGAUUGCCAUCUCGCUCAGCACCUGUUUCCUUGAACGAUGAGAAUAACCCAUCUCUCCUGUUUUAAGUGUGAUUUGUCAUAUACAUCAAUAGGCAUCUUGGCUCAACAUACGAAAGCCCCUUUCCACAGAGACAGCUGCCUCCAGCCUGAAGAAGUUGCCACAGGAGGUAGAAGGAGGUCCCUUGCCCAUGCCUGGGAGACCCAGCCAGAGUGGACAGGGAGGCGGCCCGGGCCGGGGUGCCAGACUCAGCAAAUAAACACAGCAUGCCCAGUUGACGGCGCAUGUGGUACUGUAUUGAAUCUGGCAACGCUCCACCUUGGUUUUCCUACCCGGGUUUGUGGAAGGGGCUCCCCCUGCCCCGCAGGUGCCGCCCCGAGGAGGUGGAGGAGGAGGAGCCGGGCACUGACUGGGGACCCAGGUGAGUCUAGCAAAUGACAAGGCCCAACGGUCAAAACCGCCUCAGUAAUGCGCUCGUCCAAAGCACGCACUUAACGCUCAAUCCUGGUGUCGCGUCCCGUUGCCAGGCAACGAAAGCAAGCGCUGCAAAGACGAAGGGGAGCGCCCAAGGAUGAGGAACGUUCCAAGACACUGAGUGAUUUGCUGAAAAUCACACAUCUAGAUGCAAAGCCAGAAUGCGAGCAGUGACCACCACACUUGACAAAUCCGUUGUUGCACACAUUUGUACUCUUCAAUCAACAAAACCUGAUGCAAAAAACAGAAAAGGGGGAGAUGUACAUGCAUUUUCCCUCACUGCAAAAAAAACACAACUUGUUUAACUACAGGUGUGUUCCUGGUGGUCUUUGAAUGAAGACAUUGACAGAAAGUAACAUAGCAUGCUGGUUAAAGACUGUUUUUAUUCGAAUCCUGGCUUUGCCAAUCAACAGCUGCAUAAAUUAAACUCUCGACCUCAGCUCCCUUAUUUGUAAAACAAGAAUAACAAAAAGACAUUUUUAUAAGGUUGGGUUGAAGGUUAAAUGAAAUAACAGAAGAUUAUCUCUUCACUAAUUUUAGCUGUAGAAAACAGAAGCCAAUCGAAAGAGCUCCCAGUCCAAAGCUGGAACAACUUGAACAACAAAAUAAAUAAUGUAGCAUUGGAUUACAAACCAACCAUAAAACAAAUAUCCAUGAGUCUAUACUGAUGUCAAUAAAUGAAUAAAUGUGGGAAAAUA
RNAcentral lists this long non-coding RNA (2285 nucleotides) under Homo sapiens (human). Its description in RNAcentral is "HSALNT0366548". The record is from RNAcentral. Lineage: Eukaryota; Metazoa; Chordata; Mammalia; Primates; Hominidae.